GCAAUUACUAAUUACUUAAGGUCAAAUAAGUACGCUAAAUAAGUUUUAUAUGAAACGAUUUUAAUAUUUAAUAAAAACCAAACUUAAGAGUACAUUAUUAAUACGGGGAAAAGCACUUAUGAAAGCAUGUAGUAUAAAAACAUCAGAUAUCAACAAGUUUAUACGAAUAUAGGUACACGCACCAGUAAAACCUUUUCAUGGCCCAAACGUGUACAAUAUAUGGUGUUGCUUUUACUUACCUAAUUCGUAAUUUUUAUUGAUAAAUGUGCAAGUGUGAACAAUUAAUAUUUUUAAAUACCGUCAUAAAAACUCUUUUUGCACGUAACAUUAUAUAAUUGUAUGAAAAAUAUUUUUAUCUGUUUUCAGGCACAUAGCCAAGGAGAGGAUCCAUGGAGCCUAAACUCUCCCUGAAAUUUAAGUUUUUCAUCAAAAAAUACUAUGAUUUUUUUCCUAUUACAUUUUAAUUUUUCCCUCCCCCUCCCGAGAC
Molecule: non-coding RNA, 487 nt
Organism: Cinara cedri
Lineage: Eukaryota; Metazoa; Arthropoda; Insecta; Hemiptera; Aphididae
Source: the annotation of a GenBank genome assembly